UACGGGGGGGGCAAGCGUUGUUCGGAAUUACUGGGCGUAAAGCGCGCGUAGGCGGCGAUACAAGUCAGAGGUGAAAUCCCGAGGCUCAACCCCGGAACUGCCUUUGAAACUGUAUUGCUAGAGUGUCGGAGGGGAUAGCGGAAUUGCUAAUGUAGAGGUGAAAUUCGUAGAUAUUAGCAGGAACACCGGUGGCGAAGGCGGCUAUCUGGACGACAACUGACGCUGAGGCGCGAAAGCGUGGGGAUCAAACAGG
RNAcentral lists this ribosomal RNA (253 nucleotides) under uncultured bacterium. Its description in RNAcentral is "partial 16S ribosomal RNA". It matches the Rfam family "Bacterial small subunit ribosomal RNA", at positions 524 to 776 of the family's 1533-position model. The record is from RNAcentral.